GGAACCUUCCAGUGAGACUCCACAACCUGCAGAGUUGCAUGGCACCUCUCAAGAGAAGGGGAUAUAAAGUGCUCCUAUCUGUCAGAAGCUGCAGCAUGUGCUGGCACAGAUUUCCCACCCUCUAGUCGUGGAUCCUCUUGUGCCAAAAUGAAAGCCUGGUGUCUUGUCACUUAUAGUUGUGACUCUGGUCAAAGACUUUCUCCAGCAUUGUGAACACGUCAAAUUAUUGUCUAAAUGAAAAUUGUGGUCAGGUGCUUAAGGUAUUCUCCUCAGCGUUCAACUUUGCCUGUCAAGUUCAACUGCUUUUAUGCCCAGAUGCUUCUCUUUUGAAGAAUCAUAACCAGAAAUCCGAUUUUUGAGGCUGGACCUCAUGAUAUUUUGUGGCACGGAUUACCUAGUUGAAGAAAAACAAGUUGGUAUCCAUGAUUGGGGAAAAGGAGGCCAACUUGUUAUAUGUGCUAAAAAAUAUAAGAAUGAUUGAACCUUCAGCAUAUCACCUAUCAAAUGAUCUCUGCAUGAAGAAUUAGAUGUGAAAACUAGCUUCUGGGAGAGGCAAGACUGAAGUGCCUCAUGAAGUGCUUAACAAGACAGCUGAACAAGACACAUUUUCAAUUCCAUUUAUCUAUUAAAAUUAUUUCUUGAGGACCUUGUGAAGGUUUGAUUUAAAGGUAUAUUAGAAGAACUAUGUUAAAGACUGCUAGAAGGCUUUAAAUUAAAUGUUCUUAUGAAGUAAACCCUAAGUUUAAUCAUUUAUCAUGCAUGUUUGGGUUGAAAAGCAUUACAAUGUGUGUUAUAUACGCACAUGUAAGUAUUAACAUAAGUAAACGGGAUUGAUUGGAUUGAGUCUUAGAGUAUAUAUUCUGUUCCCCAAAAGACGUUUGUCUUAAGGAACUCUAAUUACAGAGAAAAUUUAAAAUCAUAGAAUCAUAAUCAUUUCCAGCUAUCACUCAGUGGUUUAGUUCACUUCUCUAAGUACCAGUUACUUUGUAUUCAGAUAUGUACUUUAAAUAAUUAACAGUUAUAUAUGGAAUUACGUGUACAUUCAUUAUACUUUUUAAUGAUGUUCCACAAUACAUAAAUGUGCAUCCUGAAUGCCCAUCCUUAAUAUUCUCCAGAUCAUCCUGAGAACAUACUGAACAGCUGUAGGCCAAUACCUC
RNAcentral lists this long non-coding RNA (1157 nucleotides) under Anas platyrhynchos platyrhynchos (common mallard). Its description in RNAcentral is "lncRNA (ENSAPLG00000028249.1)". The record is from RNAcentral. Lineage: Eukaryota; Metazoa; Chordata; Aves; Anseriformes; Anatidae.